GGAGUAUGUGGUUAAUUCGAAGCAACGCGAAGACCCUUACCAGGUCUUGACAUCCCGAUGACCGUCCUAGAGAUAGGGCUUCUCUUCGGAGCAUCGGAGACAGGUGGUGCAUGGUUGUCGUCAGCUCGUGUCGUGAGAUGUUGGGUUAAGUCCCGCAACGAGCGCAACCCUUAAUCUUAGUUGCCAGCAUUCAGUUGGGCACUCUAGGAUGACUGCCGGUGACAAACCGGAGGAAGGUGGGGAUGACGUCAAAUCAUCAUGCCCCUUAUGACCUGGGCUACACACGUACUACAAUGGCCGGUACAACGGGGAGCGAAGCCGCGAGGUGGAGCGAAUCCUCACAAGCCGGUCUCAGUUCGGAUUGCAGGCUGCAACUCGCCUGCAUGAAGUCGGAAUUGCUAGUAAUCGCGGAUCAGCAUGCCGCGGUGAAUACGUUCCCGGGUCUUGUACGCACCGCCCGUCACACCACGAGAGUUUACAACACCCGAAGUCGGUGGGGUAACCCGCAAGGGGGCCAGCCGCCGAAGGUGGGGUAGAUGAUUGGGGUG
RNAcentral lists this ribosomal RNA (548 nucleotides) under uncultured soil bacterium. Its description in RNAcentral is "bacterial SSU rRNA". It matches the Rfam family "Bacterial small subunit ribosomal RNA", at positions 934 to 1482 of the family's 1533-position model. The record is from RNAcentral.